Molecule: long non-coding RNA, 1847 nt
Organism: Equus caballus (horse)
Lineage: Eukaryota; Metazoa; Chordata; Mammalia; Perissodactyla; Equidae
Source: Ensembl
GUGUGUUUCCUGGAGGCAGCAUAUUGUUGGAUCUUGUUCUUUGAUCCAUCCUGCCACUCUGUGUCUUUUGAUUGGGGAGUUCAAUCCGUUUACAUUUAGAGUGAUUAUUGAGACGUGGGGGCCUACCACUACCAUUUUGUGUCUUGUUUUCCGGUUUUCUUCAGUUUCCUUUGUUUCUCGUCCCAUGGUUUAAUCUGUUCUGAUGUAGAGCUGCUACUCUCUGUUGUUGUCCUUCUACUUAUCUCCUCUGCUCUUGGUUUUGUAGCCCCUUUCCUUUUUUGGAUUUUUCAGGAAUGAGGGUUUUCCUGAGGAUUUCCUGAAGAGGAGGUCUAGUGGUGAUGAACUCCCUCAGGUUUUGUUUGUCUGGGAAAGAUUUUAUUUCUCCAUCAUGUCUGAAGGAUAAUUUCACUGCAUAGAGUAUUCUUGACUAAUAGUUUUUGUCUUUCAGUAUUUUGAAUAUAUCAUUCCACUCUCUCCUAGCAUAUAGGGUUUCUGCUGAAAAAUCUACUGAAAGCCUGAUGGGGGUUCCUUUGUAGAUUAUUUCUUCCCUCUUGCUGCCCUUAAUAUUUUUUCUUCGUCAUUGAUUUUUGAUAGUUUUAAUAUUAUAUACCUUGGAGAAAGUUUUUUUGCAUUGAGUUAAUUAGGUGUUCUGUUAGCUUCAUGUACUUGCAUGUCCAGUUACUUCCUCAGGUUUGGGAAGUUCUCAGCUAUUAUUUCUUUGAAUAAGCUCUCUGCUUCUUUCUCCCUCUCUUCUCCUUCUUGGAUAUCUAUAAUCCUAUGUUACUUUUCCUAAUUGAGUCAGAUAUUUUUAAAAAGUCUUAGUUCUCUUUCCUCCUCCACCUGAAUGGUUUCUAGGUUUCUAUCUUCAAGCUUAUUAAUUCUCUUCUCCAUAUGGUCUGCUCAUUUUUAAUGCUUUCUACAUUAUCUUUCACCUCUUUAGUUGUCUUCUUCAUCUGCAGAAUUUCUGUUUAGUUUUUCUUCAGUGUUUCAAUCUCUUUGGUGAAAUACUCCUUCUCUUCAUUAAUUUUAUUCAUGAGCUCAUUGAACUGUCUUUCUGAAUUUUCUUGUAACUCAGCUAUUUUGAAUUCUCUGUCAGAGUCUAAUCUUCUGUGACUUCAAGUUUCAUUUCUAGAGAGUUGUCAUUCUCUUUCUCUUCUCCCAUGUUACAGUAGUUCUUCAUGGUGUUUGAUGAGUUGAUCCUCUGCCAGUGCAUUUGUGGUAGUAAUCACUUUUCUUAUUUGGGUAUGGCUUUGGUUACUUUGGUUCUGAGCUGCUUGUUGUAUUUGAGAGCUUGCCCAUUUCUUCCUCCACUGCCUCUGCUAGAUUUGUCAUUAGUGCCCUUCUUGUACCACUUGUGCCUCUGAGGUUGCCAGUGCCAUGCUUCUUAUGAUGUUGCACAGUCUUAGCUGUCACUACUGGGGUCACCAGGGUACAAGCAUUUCUGCUUCUUUCAGGGUCCCCUGGGUCUCGUGUUCCCCCACUGGCUGUCCAUGGGCUCCCAGUGGGCAUGCAUACGGCUGCUCUUGGGUUGUCUGGGGGUGCUGGUUGCUCUACUGCCAGGGGUGGUGGGUUCACAGGUGUCAUUAUCACUGCCAGGGGCCCGGGGACCUGGGGACUUGUAUACAGCCGCUGCUGCUGGAGGAGCUGUUGGUGGGAGUGCCACCACUGGGUCACCAGUUCUGCUGUGGUUCCUGAAGCUUCUGGGUGCAAGUUCCACCUACCACUGCUAGGGAGAAGCAGGGGUUAAGUAGGGAGAGUUGUUGUUGCUUGCUUUUGCAGCCUUUGGUCUCUGGUGCUAGCCAGUGUGUUUUGAAAACUCAGAUCAGGCUACCCGACCUCAUCUAGGA